This is a long non-coding RNA of Sinocyclocheilus grahami, 339 nucleotides long. RefSeq lists it as uncharacterized. NCBI's taxonomy places the organism in Eukaryota, Metazoa, Chordata, Actinopteri, Cypriniformes, Cyprinidae. The transcript has 4 exons. The record is from RefSeq and is a predicted model, not a curated record.
CAGCCCAUGUGUUAAUGGAGUCUGUAAGAACAAUGCAGGCUCUUUCUCCUGUGAGUGCCCACUAGGAAGUGAACUGGACUCCACUGGACUUUUAUGUAUUGACAGUCUGAAGGGCUCGUGCUGGGUAACCCUUCAGGAUGGCCGCUGUGAAGUGAACAUUAACGGAGCUACACUGAGGUCUCAGUGCUGUGCGACGCUGGGAGCGGCCUGGGGAAGCCCAUGUGAACCAUGUCAAAGCGAUCCUGUAUGUCAACGAGGAUUCGCUCGGCCAAGAGGGGCUUCGUGUGAAGAUGUGAAUGAGUGUGAGGUGUUCCCCGGUGUGUGUCAUAAUGGACACUG